Long non-coding RNA from Cucumis sativus (cucumber), 1520 nucleotides. RefSeq lists it as uncharacterized. NCBI's taxonomy places the organism in Eukaryota, Viridiplantae, Streptophyta, Magnoliopsida, Cucurbitales, Cucurbitaceae. The record is from RefSeq and is a predicted model, not a curated record. The transcript is spliced from 2 exons.
UAUUGUAUUCCAAUAUUCAUGACUUCGGUUAUCUUGAUGCAAGAAUUUAUGGUGAAAAUCUGUUCCAAGUUGGGAGUUUUAGGAAAGGCCAACCCCCAAAGAAUCAGUCUGAAGAGAUUUACUAAUGCAUGAAUUUAUGAUGAUCUGUUCCAAGUUGGGAUUUCUAAAAUCUGGAAACUAGGGGCUGGGGAAUAAUUCGGGAAAAAUCAGUCUGAAGAAAUUUCUGCAUCACAUUUGUCUGGACAUGGUUCUAAUUUUUCAAGAAAUUGGUUUUAGAAGAAGUGUGCUUAAUCAGUUGAGUUGGGUUCGGCUUGGUGCUGCUUUUUACCAUUGGAAUUGAGGAAUAAUUUAGUUUCUCUCUCCUUGAAGAGUUCUUGGUGAGUUGAACCUAUUAAUGGAAAUUCCUUGGAAAAAUUUCUCAUUUAUUAGUCUCCAUGCAUGAAGAGUUGUUAGUUUCGAAACAUUUGAUGUAUUGCCGGUGAGGUUCUUGAAAGUUAAAGCAGUUGAUUCAAAUUUGUUGGAAUAGGCCGUGGUGGUUAAGAGUAAUUUUUUUUCUCUUUUACUAGAGAAGAAACAAUUUCAUCGACGAAUCCUUGCAAGCCAAAAGUUGAACCCUUCUCAGAGAAAGUUGGGUGAAAGAGGAAUGCCUCGACCAUCAAGCUAACAUCGUUUGGUCAAGCAACUUGAAAACUGAAGACAUCAAAGAAGCCAUCCCAAAUCGACCUAGUAAAAACCCAACUCCCUAAAUGGUAGUUAAAAUACUCCAUUGCACUCCUAUAAAGGAUGUGAUGCUACCGAUUCAUCAAACCAAACCAUAUCCUUGGAACACUAUGUAAAGUGUUAAUUAUUUUAUGAAGGACUCGUCAAGUAAAAAACUUUACUCUUUGAGAAUUUAACCUUCCACAACAACUAAAAGACCCGAUGAUUGUAAGGAAGGGGUCCACCAAACACCCAAAAAGUAUUUACAAGAAAAAGCUUUUGAACUGCUAGGACCCCAAAGACAAAAAAUCCCCUUUCCAAGGUUAAUAGAACCCUAAAACAAGAACAAAAGGCCAACAAUGUUUGUCCUUUGCUUUCUGUCAAUGGACAACAAAGCCUAAGAUCAAGCUGAAGAUGACUCUCAGAGCAAGAAGGUACGGAGGCCACCAAGUGAUUCCUCAUGGAGGAAAAAUGGUAUAAAGGAGGGAACAAGGAGUAAAAGAGUUUAUCACCCAACUACUUAUCUUCCCAAAAGUAGGUAUCCCUCCUGUCACCGAUCUCACCCUAAAUAAAUGAAGGGAACAAGGAAACCAUCAGAGAGCUUUCCACGAGUUUUUGGAAGUGCCUUUGAAGUCCCCAUUUUUAAACUUGUUUCUGGAAUUUGGAAUUUGGCUAAGAAAGAAUUCACUCUUGUUCUUUCUCAAUUCAACUAUCUUAAAGAUGCAAAUCAUUGUAAGAAAUUGGGAGGAAAUAGACGUUUUCAAAAACCAAAAACAAAAAGUGUAAUAAUUACAAAACAAAACCUAAAUCAUUUGAUGGAG